AAGAAAAGCCAUCUGGAGUCAAAUAUAAAACCAAAUAGGAUGUCAACACUUUCUCUAUUUUUUGAUAGCCCAUCUGGGCUUUAUCUAUCCAGGAAAAAAGAAAAACUCAUCUGGAUCAUCAGCAAUGAGUUCGAGGUUGAAUAUUUCAGAAGAAUUUGAGACCGAGGAGUGUCAUGUGUUCUUGAACUUCCGAGGGAAAGAUACCCGUAGGGGGUUCAUAAACACGCUGUCUGCUUUCUUUCAAUUUAAGGAGCGUAACAUCAGGGUUUUCCUUGAUGAGAAGAAGAUCAAAGUGGGGAAUGAGAUCGCCGAGAGGAUUAAGCGAGCCAUUACUGACUCGCAGAUUUACAUUUGCGUCUUCUCUCGCAACUAUGCUUCCAGUCCGUGGUGCCUCCGGGAAUUAGCUUUCAUGUUGGAGUCGAGGAGAAAAUCGAACGGCAAAGAGAUCUUGCCCAUUUUCUACAACGUUAAGGUGGAAGAUGUGAAGCUCAAGACUGAUUUGUACCGGGACCACCUGAGCGAGCUCAAGAAGGAGUAUGGAGAGGAGACGGUGCAGAAAUGGGAGAAAGCUCUAAAGGAGAUCGCUGCGAUUAAGGGAUGGGACUCGGCUGAUUACGGCGGCGAUGCAGACCUUAGCGAAGUAGUGGUUGGCGAGGUUAGGAGCAGAUUGAAGAUACAACAAAUGAGAGGUCAUUUAGUCGGGUUGAAAGAGGCCAUAGACAAUGUAAUUGCCAAGUUAGAUAUCGAAUCAGGUGGGGUAAAGUUUCUUGCAAUCCAUGGAGUUAGUGGAGUUGGUAAGACAUCUCUUGCCAAGUCUGUUUUCCAUCAACUCUCUGUCCGCUUUCAAGGCUGCAGCUUCCUUGCAGAUAUUCAAGAAUCAUUCGAGCACGGUAAUGGUUUUGAAGCCUUGAAGGAGCAAUUACUUCGAGAUAUUCCCGACAGUGACGGGGAGUCCACCUCUAUCGAAAAAAGGUUUCGUGACAAAAAGGUUCUCAUUGUCCUGGAUAAUGUGAACAAGAGAGAACAAGUCAUGGAAUUCGCUAAGAAGUCUCUCCGGUUUGGUCCCGGCAGCAGGAUAAUUAUCACGACGGCGAAGGAUCAUCCUAUCUUACUGAUCCAACCAGCUGCUGGAAAAAAAUCAACAGAGGGCGCUGCAAAGAAGUUCAAAGAGUUUGACACCUUGGAGAUGAAGGAAAUGGAGUUUGACCAAGCACUCCGACUUUUCAGCAAAUAUGCCUUUUGUAAAGACUCACCUCCAGAUGACCACCGGAGCUUGUCUGAACAAGCUGUCGAAAGCGUUGGACCACUGAUUCCUCUAACAAUUGAGAUAAUCGGUUCUUUUCUUCGUGGCAAAAACGAAGAAGUUUGGAACAGAACUUUUUUAGAGUUGAAAGAGAUACAUUCACAUGCAAUUAACCUAAAAUUGAAGGUCAUUUAUGAUGCACUCAGCUAUCAGGCAAAGCAAAUUUUCCUAGAUAUUGCAUGUUUGUUUGUAAACAAGGAGAAAACAAAUGCAAUGUACACGUGGGAAGCUUGUCAUAACAACAGGGAGGGCAUUGAUGUUCUCACUGGGAUGUCAAUGGUAAAAAUUCUCGAUGAUGGUAAACUGUGGAUGCAUGACUAUCUCAGAGACCUCGGAAGGGGCAUUGUUGAUGCAGACCGCUGGAAGAAUCCUGGAGUGCUGACUAGAUUGUGGAGACAUAACGAAGCACUGGAAGUGCUACAGAGAUAUGAGGGAAAACAAAAUGUUGAAGCACUUUGCUUAUGCUAUGAUCCUUCUUUACGUGGUCUUACUCUUACACAUAAAGAAUUUACGAAUCUCAAAGUGCUAAGGUUCCUCAAACUUUAUUCGGUGAAACUUUCGGGGGACUUGGAGCACCUCCUUCCACGGUUAAGGUGGCUUUCUUGGCAUGAGUGCCCUCAUGAAUUUGAAGCAACCAAUCUUCUCUUGAGAAAGUUGGUCAUUCUUGAUCUUUCUGAGAGUUUAAUAAUGGAUAAGUGGGGAGGAUGGAGCUGUCUCCAGGGUGCAAUUAUCUUGAAAGUUUUGGAUCUAACAGGAUGCAGACAUUUAGAAAGAACACCGAACCUCUCGAAAUUCAAGUAUUUGGAAAGAAUGAUUCUUGCAGGUUGCACAAGGUUGGUUGAAAUUGACUCUUCUAUUGUGGAGAUGAAGCGACUUAAGUACUUGAAUCUCAGAGGAUGCGAUUCCCUUAUGGAACUGCCUGAGCAAAUAGGUUCACUUGAAGCUCUGUCGGAGAUCAUAUUCAUGCAAGGGGAAUGCAAACCGUUCAACUUGCCAGAAUCAAUUGGAUCUUCGAAAUCUAUGUCAAUCCUUGAAGUUGGAAAUGUGGGAAUUUCCCAACUUCCACUAUCCAAAGGAGGACUAGGAAGACUUGAGCGGUUAUCUUUAUUCAGGUGCUCAAUGAUCAAGCAACUCCCUGAUUCACUUGGUGGCUUAAGUCAGUUGAUUGAGUUGGACGUAUCGGAGACGGGAAUCAUUGCCUUUCCUGCUUCCAUUGGAGAUCUAAAAGAACUGAAGGUGAUAAAAAUGAGCCGUUGUCCUAUAACGGAAUUACCAAGGGCUAUUGGGAUGGCACAGAAUCUCAAAGAGUUGCAUGCCGAUCAUUGUACAGAAUUGAGAGGGGAAGUUCCAGCGGAAAUUGGGAAUCUGUCACAUUUGAAAAUUCUGGACUUAUCGUACACCGGUAUCACUACCUUGCCAGAAACAAUAAGCCAGCUGUCUGAACUCGAAAUACUGCAUCUAGAAUCAUGUCACAAUCUGGAAAGACUGCCAAAGCUUCCCCAAGGGCUGACUAGGUUGCAUUUUGAGCUUUGGUCACUUUUGGAAGACCCCAUUCUUUGUGAACUGGGAAAUCUUGUCGAUUUGGUGAUGUCUGAUAUCGGACCUGAUCUACCAAGUCAAGGACACAUUUCCAACUUGGAGUGGAUGCAAACACUAUCCAAGUUAGAGAAUCUGGAUCUGAGCGUAUCAGAUUCGAGCACUUUCUGCUUACCUCAGCUCAAGUCCCUCAAUUUAUCUUGCAGGGACCUAUCCAAAGCUUGCUCGGAACUUCCGUGCACUUUAUCAAGGUUGGUUCUUGCACAUCUUGAGGUACAUUCAAGAUUGCCACACUUUGAAAACUUGGAGAACCUUUCGUUUUUAAGUUUUUACAGAUGCUCCAUAAAGGAGAAAGAUGGGCUGGAACUUGGACAAUUGAAGUCCCUGUUCCAUUUCUCUGCAAUUGAAUGCCUCUUUCGAAUGGGUAAAGGGCUUUGCCUGCCAAAAGAUUUGAGAGUUCUGAGCAUGAGUGAGUGCGAGUUCUGUGCCGAUACAUUUCUUGAUCUAGCCGGCUUGAAGCAUCUUAAGCAGUUGAAGCUUUCAAAGUGCAAAGGACUGAUUGAAGUUCGAGGUGUUGGACAACUGGAAUCAUUGCAGGAACUCAUAGUUCGCCAUUGUGAGUGCUUGGCAAGGCUAGAUGAUCUGUCAAAUCUGAGGAAGCUAGAAAUUGUCAAGAUAUAUGACUGCGAGAUGCUGACAUAUGUUGGGGAUCUUGAGAGAAUAUCAGAAUUGGACUUAAAGGAGAAGUUUAUAUUUUUGAACUGCAGACCAGUGAAAGGUUCAUGCGAUGAACAAAGCUCAUGAGAUCCGCGGCUUGGGAAACAGGUUAAAAAUAUGAGGAUUUGACUCGAGGAGUUGAGAAGAUCCUAACCGUGGACGACUUCUUAAGACACACAAAUUCAUCCCUGCUUCUUCAGUAGUUGCUGUCAAUCUUGUUGGUCCCUGGUCCAUAAAUAUAUAAAAGCUGAAGAACAGGAAUGCCAGGCGUGCUAAUACAGGUCUGCGGAGUGGCAAUUGAAGUUGUUCGGGAUGAAUCAUUGCUCGAUUUAAAUAAGAAGUCCAACAUCAGCUUCUUCUAGCUCAUUCAUCAGGAAGUGCGUGUAGAUCCAUCAAACGUCAGAGAAUCAGCCAGAAGGCUAGACUUAACUAAAACACGUCGUUUCGUCAUUUGUUCUUCGAAGCUUACUCAGAAAUAGUAACCCCACAGUUGUCCAUUUUGUUCCUCCUGUGUCCCAGUGACCAUGAGCGAUGCUCUCGUCUUGAUUCUGUAAACUUUUACUCCUGAUAUAAGCACUUUAUUUUCAGCUUCUAUCA
Punica granatum (pomegranate) is the source of this 4153-nucleotide non-coding RNA. The record is from RefSeq and is a predicted model, not a curated record. Lineage: Eukaryota; Viridiplantae; Streptophyta; Magnoliopsida; Myrtales; Lythraceae.